Molecule: ribosomal RNA, 1452 nt
Filed under: uncultured organism
Description: SSU rRNA
Rfam family: Bacterial small subunit ribosomal RNA
Source: RNAcentral
AACGCUAGCUACAGGCUUAACACAUGCAAGUCGAGGGGCAUCAGGAAGAAAGCUUGCUUUCUUUGCUGGCGACCGGCGCACGGGUGAGUAACACGUAUCCAACCUGCCCUUUACUCGGGGAUAGCCUUUCGAAAGAAAGAUUAAUACCCGAUGGCAUAAUGAUUCCGCAUGGUUUCAUUAUUAAAGGAUUCCGGUAAAGGAUGGGGAUGCGUUCCAUUAGGUUGUUGGUGGGGUAACGGCCCACCAAGCCUUCGAUGGAUAGGGGUUCUGAGAGGAAGGUCCCCCACAUUGGAACUGAGACACGGUCCAAACUCCUACGGGAGGCAGCAGUGAGGAAUAUUGGUCAAUGGGCGCUAGCCUGAACCAGCCAAGUAGCGUGAAGGAUGAAGGCUCUAUGGGUCGUAAACUUCUUUUAUAUAAGAAUAAAGUGCAGUAUGUAUACUGUUUUGUAUGUAUUAUAUGAAUAAGGAUCGGCUAACUCCGUGCCAGCAGCCGCGGUAAUACGGAGGAUCCGAGCGUUAUCCGGAUUUAUUGGGUUUAAAGGGAGCGUAGGUGGACUGGUAAGUCAGUUGUGAAAGUUUGCGGCUCAACCGUAAAAUUGCAGUUGAUACUGUCAGUCUUGAGUACAGUAGAGGUGGGCGGAAUUCGUGGUGUAGCGGUGAAAUGCUUAGAUAUCACGAAGAACUCCGAUUGCGAAGGCAGCUCACUGGACUGCAACUGACACUGAUGCUCGAAAGUGUGGGUAUCAAACAGGAUUAGAUACCCUGGUAGUCCACACAGUAAACGAUGAAUACUCGCUGUUUGCGAUAUACAGUAAGCGGCCAAGCGAAAGCAUUAAGUAUUCCACCUGGGGAGUACGCCGGCAACGGUGAAACUCAAAGGAAUUGACGGGGGCCCGCACAAGCGGAGGAACAUGUGGUUUAAUUCGAUGAUACGCGAGGAACCUUACCCGGGCUUAAAUUGCAGUGGAAUGAUGUGGAAACAUGUCAGUGAGCAAUCACCGCUGUGAAGGUGCUGCAUGGUUGUCGUCAGCUCGUGCCGUGAGGUGUCGGCUUAAGUGCCAUAACGAGCGCAACCCUUAUCUUUAGUUACUAACAGGUCAUGCUGAGGACUCUAGAGAGACUGCCGUCGUAAGAUGUGAGGAAGGUGGGGAUGACGUCAAAUCAGCACGGCCCUUACGUCCGGGGCUACACACGUGUUACAAUGGGGGGUACAGAAGGCAGCUAGCGGGUGACCGUAUGCUAAUCCCAAAAUCCUCUCUCAGUUCGGAUCGAAGUCUGCAACCCGACUUCGUGAAGCUGGAUUCGCUAGUAAUCGCGCAUCAGCCACGGCGCGGUGAAUACGUUCCCGGGCCUUGUACACACCGCCCGUCAAGCCAUGGGAGCCGGGGGUACCUGAAGUACGUAACCGCAAGGAUCGUCCUAGGGUAAAACUGGUGACUGGGGCUAAGUC